Molecule: ribosomal RNA, 253 nt
Filed under: uncultured bacterium
Lineage: Bacteria
Description: partial 16S ribosomal RNA
Rfam family: Bacterial small subunit ribosomal RNA
Source: RNAcentral
UACGUAGGGUGCAAGCGUUAAUCGGAAUUACUGGGCGUAAAGCGUGCGCAGGCGGUUCGUUAUGUCCGAUGUGAAAGCCCCGAGCUCAACUUGGGAAUGGCAUUGGAAACUGGCGGGCUGGAGUGUGGCAGAGGGGGGUGGAAUUCCACGUGUAGCAGUGAAAUGCGUAGAGAUGUGGAGGAACACCGAUGGCGAAGGCAGCCCCCUGGGUCAAGAUUGACGCUCAUGCACGAAAGCGUGGGGAGCAAACAGG